This 74-nucleotide transfer RNA is filed under the name Pteropus alecto (black flying fox). It matches the Rfam family "tRNA". Rfam says of the family: Transfer RNA (tRNA) molecules are approximately 80 nucleotides in length. Their secondary structure includes four short double-helical elements and three loops (D, anti-codon, and T loops). Lineage: Eukaryota; Metazoa; Chordata; Mammalia; Chiroptera; Pteropodidae. The record is from Rfam by way of RNAcentral. RNAcentral also lists the same sequence under 1 other name.
GGCUCCAUAGUAUAAUGGUUAGCACGUCUGCUUUACACGCAGAAGGUCCUCGGUUCGCGCCCCAGGUGGAGCCA